CGAUCGCGAACUGCGAUCGAAUCAUCUAGCUCACAUCGUUUACGGCUGGGACUACCCGGGUAUUUAGUGCGCAGGCCUUUGCCUGCUGCAUAUCUAAUCCGGUUCGCUCCCCCAGCUUUCACCCCUCACCGUCGAGCGCGUUCUGGCGGACCGCCUUCGCCACUGGUGGUCUUCCGCGGAUCAAAGGAUUUUACCCCUACACGCGGAGUACCGUCCGCCUCUCCCGCCUCCUAGUCCCACAGUAUCCUCUGCAGACCAGCCGUUGAGCGACUGGAUUUAACAGAGGACUUACGGAACCGGCU
Molecule: ribosomal RNA, 302 nt
Filed under: uncultured archaeon
Lineage: Archaea
Description: partial 16S ribosomal RNA
Source: RNAcentral